UUAAGGAAUUAGGCAAAUUUCCCCCGUACGUUCGCAAUAAGGGGGGCCUCUGGUGGUUAGCUUCGGCGAAGCUGCUGGAGGCCGCAGUGAAAUGGCUCUUCCAACUGUUUAACAAAAACACAGGUCUCUGCUAAGUCGAAAGACGAAGUAUAGGGGCUGACGCCUGCCCAGUGCUGGAAGGUUAAGGGGAGAGGUUAGCCGUAAGGCGAAGCUUUGAGCCGAAGCCCCAGUGAACGGCGGCCGUAACAAUAACGGUCCUAAGGUAGCGAAAUUCCUUGUCGGGUAAGUUCCGACCCGCACGAAUGGCGUAAUGAGAGGAGCACUGUCUCAACGAGGGACUCGGCGAACAUUGAAGGACGUGUGAAGAUACACGUGACCCGCAGCGGGACAAAAAGACCCCGUGAAGCUUUACUAUAACUUGCCAUUGAGUUAGGGCUAAAUCUGUGUAGCAUAGGUGGGAGGCUUUGAAGCUGGGACGCCAGUCUCGGUGGAGCCACCGUUGAAAUACCACCCUGAUUUAUUCUUGGCUCUAACCUGUAGCCGUUAUCCGGCAUGGGGACAGUGGCUGGUGGGUAGUUUGACUGGGGCGGUCGCCUCCGAAAGAGUAACAGAGGCGCCCAAAGGUUCCCUCAGGCUGAAUGGAAACCAGCCGUUGAGUGUAAAGGCACAAGGGAGCUUGACUGCAAGACAUACGCGUCGCGCAGGUACGAAAGUAGGGCUUAGUGAUCCCACGGUUCAGAGUGGAAUGGCCGUGGCUUACCGGAUAAAAGCUACUCCGGGGAUAACAGGGUAGUCUGGUCCAAGAGUUCAUAUCGACGACCAGGUUCGCCACCUCGAUGUCGGCUCAUCACAUCCUGGGGCUGGAUAAGGUCCCAAGGGUUGGGCUGUUCGCCCAUUAAAGUGGUACGUGAGCUGGGUUCAGACCGUCGUGAGACAGGUCGGUCUCUAUCCGCUGUGGGCGUAAGGGAUUUGAGAGAAGCUGUCCCUAGUACGAGAGGACCGGGAUGGACAGACCUCUAGUGUGCCAGUUGUUCCGCCAGGGGCAUUGCUGGGUAGCUACGUCUGGCAGAGAUAACCGCUGAAAGCAUCUAAGUGGGAAACUCGUCUCAAGACUAGAUCCCUCAUCCGUAUGGAGUAAGACCACUAGAAGACUACUAGUUUGAUAGGCGGCAGGUGUACGCAUAGUAAUAUGUUCAGCCAAGCCGUACUAAUGGUCGAGGGCUUACGUU
RNAcentral lists this ribosomal RNA (1229 nucleotides) under metagenome. Its description in RNAcentral is "bacterial LSU rRNA". It matches the Rfam family "Bacterial large subunit ribosomal RNA", at positions 1705 to 2925 of the family's 2925-position model. The record is from RNAcentral.